AGAAUGCCCUACUCCACCAACCACAGAUUCAACAAGUGUGAAUUUCUUUUGUUAGCCUGGCACCUAUUAUUAGGUCACUAUUCCUGUAGCUAUUGUUACACCAAUUCCAACAACCACCUAUUUGGUGUUAUCAGAUGUGUGGUAUCCUGUCGUAAGUCUUUGUUUAUAUGAGACAAGCAGCAAAUGAGUGAAGGCUGUAUACUAAAUUCAGGAGCAUAGUGGAAGAGUACAGAGUAUAGAAAAAUUGGAUUGAGGAAGGUGAUCUUAGAGAGUAGACAACAUACAGAACCUGGCAUGACAAGACUGGAAGGGACACUCUGCUGUGAAUAUCUAUAGUUGGUGGCUCAUCGAAACUCUCACAAAGUGUACCAAAAAGUCAAGUACCUUUGUGAUAAAGAAGUUACUAGAGGUUUUUUUCAGCCCACAAGAACUGUCAGCAACAGUUUCUUUUGUGAGGGAUUCUUUAGUUGAAAGAGAUGUGCAGAAUGAACGGAGCAGGACAGGAUGAGUAAAGAAGAGAAAUGUGGCAGAAAGAUGUAAAGAAGAGAAAUAUGGACAUGGCUUGAUUUUGAUGAUUUUGUUCGAUUUUUUAAUUUGAUU
Lingula anatina is the source of this 600-nucleotide long non-coding RNA. NCBI's taxonomy places the organism in Eukaryota, Metazoa, Brachiopoda, Lingulata, Lingulida, Lingulidae. The record is from RefSeq and is a predicted model, not a curated record.